This 127-nucleotide small RNA is filed under the name Marmota monax (woodchuck). Lineage: Eukaryota; Metazoa; Chordata; Mammalia; Rodentia; Sciuridae. The record is from RNAcentral.
GCUGGGCGUGGUUGCCCGAGCCUGUACUCCCAGUGGCUUGGAAGGCUGAGGCAGGAGGAUCACAAGCUCAAGGCCAGCCUCAGCAACUUAGUGAGGCCCUAAGCAAUUUAGUAAGACCCUGUCUCAA